AUACGGAGGGUGCAAGCGUUACUCGGAAUCACUGGGCGUAAAGCGCGCGCAGGCGGCUUGAUAAGUUGGAUGUGAACGCCUACGGCUCAACCGUAGAACUGCAUCCAAAACUGUCAAGCUAGAGUCUGGGAGGGGAAGAUGGAAUUAGUUGUGUAGGGGUAAAAUCCGUAGAGGUAACUAGGAAUACCAAAAGCGAAGGCGAUCUUCUGGAACAGUCCUGACGCUGAGGCGCGAAAGCGUGGGGAGCAAACAGGAUUAGAUACCCCAGUAGUCC
Molecule: ribosomal RNA, 274 nt
Filed under: uncultured bacterium
Lineage: Bacteria
Description: partial 16S ribosomal RNA
Rfam family: Bacterial small subunit ribosomal RNA
Source: RNAcentral